GACGAACGCUGGUGGCGUGCUUAACACAUGCAAGUCGAACGGGAUUUAGUAAACAGAAGCCUCGGUGGAAGAUUACUAAUGAGAGUGGCGAACGGGUGAGUAACGCGUGAGCAACCUGCCUAUGACAGUGGGAUAGCCUCGGGAAACCGGGAUUAAUACCGCAUAGCAUCGUAGAAACACAUGUUUUAACGUUCAAAGAUUUAUCGGUCAUAGAUGGGCUCGCGUCUGAUUAGCUAGUUGUUGAGAUAACAGCCCACCAAGGCGACGAUCAGUAGCCGGUCUGAGAGGAUGAACGGCCACAUUGGAACUGAGACACAGUCCAAACUCCUACGGGAGGCAGCAGUGGGGGAUAUUGCACAAUGGGGGAAACCCUGAUGCAGCGACGCCGCGUGAACGAAGAAGGUAUUCGUAUCGUAAAGUUCUGUCCUAUGGGAAGAUAAUGACAGUACCAGAGAAGAAAGCUCCGGCUAAAUACGUG
RNAcentral lists this ribosomal RNA (478 nucleotides) under uncultured bacterium. RNAcentral describes it as "partial 16S ribosomal RNA". It matches the Rfam family "Bacterial small subunit ribosomal RNA", at positions 28 to 507 of the family's 1533-position model. The record is from RNAcentral.